This 487-nucleotide ribosomal RNA is filed under the name uncultured bacterium. RNAcentral's name for it is "bacterial SSU rRNA". It matches the Rfam family "Bacterial small subunit ribosomal RNA", at positions 29 to 507 of the family's 1533-position model. The record is from RNAcentral.
AUGAACGCUAGCGGCAGGCCUAAACACAUGCAAGUCGAGCGGUAGAAAGGGUGCUUGCAUCUCUUGAGAGCGGCGGACGGGUGAGUAAUGGCCUAGGAAUCUGCCUAGUGGUGGGGGGAUAACGUUCGGAAACGGACGCUAAUACCGCAUACGUCCUACGGGAGAAAGCGGGGGAUCUUCGGACCUCGCGCCAUUAGAUGAGCCUAGGUCGGAUUAGCUAGUUGGUGAGGUAAUGGCUCACCAAGGCGACGAUCCGUAACUGGUCUGAGAGGAUGAUCAGCCACACUGGGACUGAGACACGGCCCAGACUCCUACGGGAGGCAGCAGUGGGGAAUUUUGGACAAUGGGCGCAAGCCUGAUCCAGCCAUGCCGCGUGUGUGAAGAAGGCCUUCGGGUUGUAAAGCACUUUCAGCGAGGAGGAAGGGUUAGUAGUUAAUAGCUGCUAAUUUUGACGUUACUCGCAGAAGAAGCACCGGCUAACUACGUG